GAAGACUCCAUUGUUCCACAUAAAGGUCUCAAACAUGCAAGAAUCACAAACAUAUCAAUGAAUGCUUAGCACUUGUAACUCCAGAGAAAUAACUUCUUGUUUAAGGAUCCUGGAGUGACUCAACCACAGAUGCUUCUUGAGAACUAAGCAAUCACCUAUCAAAAUUAUUUCCUUCACCUCUCCCAG
Molecule: long non-coding RNA, 186 nt
Organism: Pezoporus flaviventris
Lineage: Eukaryota; Metazoa; Chordata; Aves; Psittaciformes; Psittacidae
Exons: 3
Source: RefSeq, a predicted model, not a curated record